Molecule: ribosomal RNA, 468 nt
Filed under: uncultured bacterium
Lineage: Bacteria
Description: partial 16S ribosomal RNA
Rfam family: Bacterial small subunit ribosomal RNA
Source: RNAcentral
GACGAACGCUGGCGGCGUGCUUAACACAUGCAAGUCGAACGGAAAGGCCCUGCUUUUGUGGGGUGCUCGAGUGGCGAACGGGUGAGUAACACGUGAGUAACCUGCCCUUGACUUUGGGAUAACUUCAGGAAACUGGGGCUAAUACCGGAUAGGAGCUCCUGCUGCAUGGUGGGGGUUGGAAAGUUUCGGCGGUUGGGGAUGGACUCGCGGCUUAUCAGCUUGUUGGUGGGGUAGUGGCUUACCAAGGCUUUGACGGGUAGCCGGCCUGCGAGGGUGACCGGCCACAUUGGGACUGAGAUACGGCACAGACUCCUACGGGAGGCAGCAGUGGGGAAUAUUGCAUAAUGGGCUGAAGCCUGAUGCAGCACAGCAGCGUGCGGUAUGACGGCCUUCGGUUUGUAAACCGCUUUCGCCUGUGACGAAGCGUGAGUGACGGUAAUGGGUAAAGAAGCACCGGCUAACUACGUG